RNAcentral lists this ribosomal RNA (335 nucleotides) under Paraphysomonas imperforata. RNAcentral's name for it is "partial Bacterial large subunit ribosomal RNA". It matches the Rfam family "Bacterial large subunit ribosomal RNA", at positions 2582 to 2925 of the family's 2925-position model. Lineage: Eukaryota; Chrysophyceae; Chromulinales; Paraphysomonadaceae. The record is from RNAcentral.
CGCCUAUUAAAGUGGUACGCGAGCUGGGUUCAGACCGGCGUGAGCCAGGUCGGUCCCUAUCUGUUGUGGGCGUUGCAAACUUGAGAGGAGUCAACUUUAGUACGAGAGGAUUAGGUUGGACUGACCCCUGGUGAUCCUGUUGGGCUGCUAAGCCCAUCGCAGGGUAGCUACGUCGGGCAGGGAUAACAGCUGAAAGCAUCUAAGCAGGAAGCCCCCCUCAAGAUCAGGUUUGCUUGUCUUGUACGUGAGACCCCUGGGAGACUACCAGGUUGAUAGGCCGCAGGUGUAAGGGUUGAGAAGCCCUCAGCUGAGCGGUACUAACGGUCGAAGGUUUG